Molecule: transfer RNA, 62 nt
Filed under: Marmota marmota marmota (Alpine marmot)
Lineage: Eukaryota; Metazoa; Chordata; Mammalia; Rodentia; Sciuridae
Also listed under: 4 other names
Rfam family: tRNA
About the family: Transfer RNA (tRNA) molecules are approximately 80 nucleotides in length.
Source: Rfam by way of RNAcentral
UAUAGCUCAGUUGGUAGAGUGCUUGCCUCACAUGCACAAGGCCCUGGGUUCAAUCCCCAGUA